GACGAACGCUGGCGGCGUGCUUAACACAUGCAAGUCGUACGAAGAGCGAUGGAAGCUUGCUUCUAUCAAUCUUAGUGGCGAACGGGUGAGUAACGCGUAAUCAACCUGCCCUUCAGAGGGGGACAACAGUUGGAAACGACUGCUAAUACCGCAUACGAUCUAAUCUCGGCAUCGAGGAUAGAUGAAAGGUGGCCUCUACAUGUAAGCUAUCACUGAAGGAGGGGAUUGCGUCUGAUUAGCUAGUUGGAGGGGUAACGGCCCACCAAGGCGAUGAUCAGUAGCCGGUCUGAGAGGAUGAACGGCCACAUUGGGACUGAGACACGGCCCAGACUCCUACGGGAGGCAGCAGUGGGGAAUCUUCCGCAAUGGACGAAAGUCUGACGGAGCAACGCCGCGUGAGUGAUGACGGCCUUCGGGUUGUAAAGCUCUGUUAAUCGGGACGAAAGGCCUUCUUGCGAAUAGUGAGAAGGAUUGACGGUACCGGAAUAGAAAGCCACGGCUAACUACGUG
This 510-nucleotide ribosomal RNA is filed under the name uncultured bacterium. RNAcentral describes it as "partial 16S ribosomal RNA". It matches the Rfam family "Bacterial small subunit ribosomal RNA", at positions 28 to 507 of the family's 1533-position model. The record is from RNAcentral.